RNAcentral lists this ribosomal RNA (686 nucleotides) under uncultured organism. Its description in RNAcentral is "bacterial SSU rRNA". It matches the Rfam family "Bacterial small subunit ribosomal RNA", at positions 427 to 1118 of the family's 1533-position model. The record is from RNAcentral.
AAACCUCUUUUCUCAGGGAAGAAGCUCUGACGGUACCUGAGGAAUCAGCCUCGGCUAACUCCGUGCCAGCAGCCGCGGUAAUACGGAGGAGGCAAGCGUUAUCCGGAAUUAUUGGGCGUAAAGCGUCCGCAGGUGGCGAUUCAAGUCUGCUGUCAAAGCACGGGGCUUAACUCCGUUAAGGCAGUGGAAACUGAAUAGCUAGAGUGCCGUAGGGGUAGAGGGAAUUCCCGGUGUAGCGGUGAAAUGCGUAGAGAUCGGGAAGAACAUCGGUGGCGAAAGCGCUCUACUGGACGGCAACUGACACUCAGGGACGAAAGCUAGGGGAGCGAAUGGGAUUAGAUACCCCAGUAGUCCUAGCUGUAAACGAUGGAUACUAGGUGUAGCUUGUAUCGACCCGAGCUGUGCCGAAGCUAACGCGUUAAGUAUCCCGCCUGGGGAGUACGCACGCAAGUGUGAAACUACAAAGGAAAUUGACGGGGGGCCAGCACAAAGCGGUGGAGUAAUGUGGUUUAAUUCGAUGCAACGCGAAGAACCUUACCAGGGGCUGGACAUGUCCGGAAUUCCGGUUGAAAGUUGGGAGUGCCUUCGCGCAGCCGGAACACAGGGUGGUGCAUGCAUGUCGUCAGCUCGUGUCGUGGGAUGUUGGGUUAAGUCCCGCAACGAGCGCAACCCUCGUCUUUAGUUGC